This 326-nucleotide small nuclear RNA is filed under the name Macaca nemestrina (pig-tailed macaque). Its description in RNAcentral is "7SK RNA (ENSMNEG00000000437.1)". It matches the Rfam family "7SK RNA". From Rfam's summary of the family: 7SK was discovered as an abundant small nuclear RNA in the mid-70s but a possible function has only recently been suggested. Two independent studies have found that 7SK RNA binds the CDK9/cyclin T complex (known as elongation factor P-TEFb). P-TEFb activates transcription by phosphorylating the C-terminal domain of RNA polymerase II. Lineage: Eukaryota; Metazoa; Chordata; Mammalia; Primates; Cercopithecidae. The record is from Rfam by way of RNAcentral.
UGAUAUGAGGGCGAUCCGGCCGCGAAAUCUGGCACCCCAUUGAUCGCCAGGGUUGAUUCGGCUGAUCUGGCUGGCUAGGCGGGUGUCCCCUUCCUCCCUCACCGCUCCAUGUGCGUCCCUCCCGAAGCUGCGCGCUCGGUCGAAGAGGACGACCAUCCCCGCUAGAGGAGGACCGGUCUUCGGUCAAGGGUAUACGAGUAGCUGCGCUCCCCUGCUAGAACCUCCAAACAAGCUCUCAAAGUUAUUUUAAUUUCUUCCCAUCCAGGAGGACUUUGAUGACACCUCUGUGGAGGCCUUCACUUAAGGGAGACAGGACGCCUUGCCUU